RNAcentral lists this ribosomal RNA (646 nucleotides) under uncultured bacterium. RNAcentral's name for it is "bacterial SSU rRNA". It matches the Rfam family "Bacterial small subunit ribosomal RNA", at positions 889 to 1532 of the family's 1533-position model. The record is from RNAcentral.
CAAGGCUGAAACUCCAAAGGAACUGACGGGGGCCCGCACAACGGUGGAGCAUGUGGUUAAUUCCGAAGCAACGCGAAGAACCUUACCAGGUCUGACAUCCCACUGACCGGUGUAGAGAUACGCUUUUCCCUUCGGGGACAGUGGUGACAGGUGGUGCAUGGUUGUCGUCAGCUCGUGUCGUGAGAUGUUGGGUUAAGUCCCGCAACGAGCGCAACCCUUGAUCUUAGUUGCCAGCAUUCAGUUGGGCACUCUAAGGUGACUGCCGGUGACAAACCGGAGGAAGGUGGGGAUGACGUCAAAUCAUCAUGCCCCUUAUGACCUGGGCUUCACACGUGCUACAAUGGACGGUACAAAGGGCUGCAACCCCGCGAGGGCAAGCCAAUCCCAGAAAACCGUUCUCAGUUCGGAUUGCAGGCUGCAACUCGCCUGCAUGAAGCCGGAAUCGCUAGUAAUCGUGGAUCAGCAUGCCACGGUGAAUACGUUCCCGGGCCUUGUGCACACCGCCCGUCACACCACGAGAGUUUGUAACACCCGAAGUCGGUGAGGUAACCCUUGUGGAGCCAGCCGCCGAAGGUGGGACAGAUCGAUUGGGGUCGAAGUCGUAACAAGGUAGCCGUAUCGGAAGGUGCGGCUGGAUCACCUCCUA